RNAcentral lists this ribosomal RNA (372 nucleotides) under uncultured organism. RNAcentral describes it as "bacterial SSU rRNA". It matches the Rfam family "Bacterial small subunit ribosomal RNA", at positions 526 to 896 of the family's 1533-position model. The record is from RNAcentral.
CGGGGGGGGCAAGCGUUGUUCGGAAUUACUGGGCGUAAAGGGCUCGUAGGCGGCCAACUAAGUCGGACGUGAAAUCCCCAGGCUCAACCUGGGAACUGCGUCCGAUACUGGAUGGCUUGAAUUCGGGAGAGGGAUGCAGAAUUCCAGGUGUAGCGGUGAAAUGCGUAGAUAUCUGGAGGAAUACCGGUGGCGAAGGCGGCAUCCUGGACCGACAUUGACGCUGAUGAGCGAAAGCUAGGGGAGCAAACGGGAUUAGAUACCCCGGUAGUCCUAGCCCUAAACGAUGAAUGCUUGGUGUGGCGGGUAUCGAUCCCUGCCGUGCCGAAGCUAACGCAUUAAGCAUUCCGCCUGGGGAGUACGGUCGCAAGGCUG